CCUUUGACUUUCAGGAUAGCACAGAAGCAGAGACUUUAAGUCUAAACAGACCUAGAUUCAGAGCCGACCCGAUGCUGCUUGAAGAAGGCUGGAGGUAUGUUAAGGAGACAAGGGCUGUCAAGAAGCAGGGAUGUCUCUGGAAAGGUUCCCCUUGCUGCUGCCAUGUGAAGAAGGACAUGUUUGCUUCCCCUUCUGCCAUCAUUGUUAUUCAUGUUAGGCUCCUGAAAACACCACAAGGACCUACCCUCCGGGAGCCAGCCAGAGAACCCUUCUUCCUGCACUGUCUCCGUUAUGCCCAACAUUUCUGGGCAUAAGUUUUAAUAAACCUUACCUGGGAAAAGUUUGUUUGGCCUCGUGUUAAUUGCUAUUAUAUGGAGAGCCAAGAAUCUCGAACCAGUAAGAGUUGUGAAGUCACCCUCAAUAUUUCCCAAGUCUUCAAAGGAAUUGAGACACUAUAAUCAUUACCCAGGACUCCACGCUUGUCAAAUUUGUUGAUGACCUCCUACUUUGCAACCAAACUGAAUAGAAUGCUUGUAUAGACUCCCUAAUCCUUCUGAAGGUACUGACUGAGCAAGGCUACAAAGCCUCCAAAUCUAAAUGUCCAUGGGUACAGACAACUGACUUAUUUAGGCCAUAAAGCAUCUCGGAGCACUAAAAAACUCACAGUAAAAUAUCUUGAAGGAAUUUUGACAAUCUUUUCUUAAGAAGAAAGAAAAAAAACCAGAAAUUUUUAGAGGCAGCUGGUUAUUGCCAUCAAUGGAUUCUUAAUUUUGCCAUCCUAGCCAAGCCUUUAUAUGUUUUCCUCUCAGGUAUAACCUCAGAACCCCUUUUAUGGCCCUCUGAGACACUGGCCUCCUUUGAAGCAUUAAAAUAAGCAUUAUCUACACCCCCAGCUCUCAGUUUAUCCAAUUUUGACAAACCUUUUCAACAAUAUUGCCAUGAAAUUAAUGAGAUUGUUGCUAGUAUUCUAGAACAGCCGUUUGUCUCUCAAUUACUUUUUAUGGCAUAUUUCUUAUUUCGAUCAACCCUGUGACAUCAGGCAUGCCUCCAUGCCUGUGUGCGAAAGCCACAGCUGCCACCCUAAUGGAAAAAGCCUUUAUUCUUACAUUAGGCCUCCCUACUCACCUCUAUGUUACCCUUGAUGUGUCAGCGCUCUUACAAGCUCAUAAAACACAGCACCCUCUUUAUACAAUGGCAGACCACUGAUGAACAGGACCUAUUAACAAUUCUCUCUCUAUUGUAUCAUUGUAACACCCUGAACCGUGCUAUUCUAUUACUCCUCCUUGAUGAUGGACAGCCCAUUCUAUUCUACGUGAUUCCUUUGUAGCUAUAUAAAUGGUCUCAAAACUAUGAUUUUUUAGACAUCUUCUUAGACAGUCCAGACUUCUGUUUUGUCAUGGCUGUCAAGCAGAAUUCUCACCGAUACAUAGUAACUGACUGUGCCAUGGUUUCCUUAAAUGAAACACUUGAGACAAAUUCUGCCUUCUAUAUAAUCAGCCUGAACCACUGAGUCUAGAUCUUACACGAGCCUUGGCAAAGAGAAAACUGACACUAUUUACACUUGAGAUGUGCUUUGGACUCUGCCAUACUGUUGGCUGUAUUGAAAAGUCCCGUUUCUGACCUCUGCUGGUACCCCUAUUGCCAAUGGCCAUGUAAUUGUUAACCUAUUACGCCUAUUCAUCUUCUAAUUGAGGUUGCUUUUGUUUAUUGUUGGCACAUGCCAAGGAGACUGACACUGUAUCUCUGGUAGACAAUACGUCUGACAAAGCUGCCAAACAUGAACCCCCAACUCUGGCAAUAACCCAUUUUUUAACCCAGCUUACAACCCUGCCUUUAACACUUACUGACGUCAAUAAUAUUUGGCAGAUACCCUACAAUGAAAAAAAA
Molecule: long non-coding RNA, 1887 nt
Organism: Homo sapiens (human)
Lineage: Eukaryota; Metazoa; Chordata; Mammalia; Primates; Hominidae
Source: Ensembl